Molecule: long non-coding RNA, 8656 nt
Filed under: Cricetulus griseus (Chinese hamster)
Lineage: Eukaryota; Metazoa; Chordata; Mammalia; Rodentia; Cricetidae
Description: lncRNA (ENSCGRG00015031632.1)
Source: RNAcentral
CAGGAAGUGACAUAUCAGGGCGACUCAUAUAUAAACAAGGGCAAGAAGGAAGUGGGCCCCUUCUCCUUUACUCCAGACUCACCAUGUGAUCCACCGGCAAGAGAGGGCACCAGGGAAGGCAUCCUCUAUAAGAUAAGUCUUAUAAAAUACAUAGAUUUAUGAUAAUUAAGACUGAGCUAACAGAUGAGAAAUCCUAGUCAUUGGCCAAGCAGCAUUUGUACCUAAUAGAAGUCUCUGUGUAUUAUUUGGGGCCCUAACUCGGCAGGCAGAACUCCGGCGGCUGGCAGAAAGCGCCCAUGUGGUGGUAGGACUCUGGUGGCUUUUGGCGGAAAGAUUUAUCGUAACAGAGGCUCUUGUCUCCCUCACUGGAAUUUAAAAGGGUUUCUCUGCAUAGCUCCAGCUGUCCUGGAACUAGCUCUGUAGACCAGGCUGGCCUCGAACUCAAAGAGGCCAGAAGAAGGCAUUGGGUCCCAGGAACUGGAAUUACAGAUGGUGCGAGCUGCUGUUGCUGUGUAGGUGCUGGGGCUCGAACCCUGGUCCUCUUUAAAGAAUCUGGCAGAGUGAAGUGGAAUGGGCCAAGGCUGUACACCCCCGAUGCCUGCUCUCAAUGACAUGCUUCCUCCAGCAAGGCUGUGUGUAUCCUGAUGGUUAGGAAGUACAUAACCUCCCCCACAGUGUCACCAGCUGGGGAAACAAAUGUUCAAAUACAUGAGCCUGUGGGGGACAUUUUCAUUCAAACCACCAUAAUCAGCUGCCUCUGUCUGUCUUGAUAUGUGUAUAUUGAAAGUUGCUUAUGUCAAAGGUGAAAGAGAGGUUUAGUAGAUGGAAAUAUUUAUUUAUGCAAAGCUCUGUUUACUUUUCAGUAUGGAUCUAAUUAGGGAAGCCAGUGCAAAGGUACCGUGUGGCAAUGCAUGUAUGUACCUGUGUUUGGUAGUGUGUGUGUGUGUGUGUGUGUGUGCGCGUGCACGCAUGAGCAUGUGUAAAUAGAGCUGAGUUAGCCAGGCGUUGGUGGCACACUCCUUUAAUCCCAGCGCUCGGGAGGCAUAGGCAGGCGGACCUCAGUGAGUUUAAGACCAGCCUGGUCUACAAGAGAAAGUUCCAGGACAGCCUCCAAAGCCACAGAGAAACCCUGACUCCAAAAACCAAAAGAAAAAAAAGCUGAGUCCAAGAGCCAAGAGAGGCACCCAGGAAAGCUGCAACUGUGCAGGGAGAAGAAAUACCUGAUUCUGGACUUGGAGGGGCUGAUAUUGCAUGGACUCUGUCUGAGUGAGGCCCCUAACCAUCUGUACUGCCCAUCUGAACAGGGCUCCUGAACCCCCUAUGAGAAUACUUCUUGAAGAAGUAAACGACCUUGUGUUUCUAGUGCUUUCUGUCAUCCUGUGUGUGUGUGUGUGUGUGUGUGUGUGUGUGUGUGUGUGUUGUGUUUUCUUGUGUUUGUAUAGGUGUGUGUAUGUGUGUGCAUAUGUGUUCAUGUGUGUCAAGGCCAGAGAGAUAACAUUAAGUAACUUCCCCUAUUGCUCUCUAUUUUAUUUAUUUUUUAAAGGUUUGUUCAUUUUUAUUCUAUGUGUAUGAGUGUUUUGCCUGCAUCUAUGUCUUUGCAUCACAUGUAUACUGAAGCCCAUGGAGGCCAGAGGAGGGCAUCAGAUCCCCUGGAACUGGAGUCACAGACAGUUGUGAGCUGCCAUGGGGGUGCUGGAUUCUUAAACUGGGUCCCCUGCAAGAGCUAAGUAAGUUCUCUUCACCCCCGAGCCAGCUCUCUAGCCCCCUUAUUUAUUUAUUAUUUAUAAGACAGGCCCUCACUGUGCAGUUUUUGUUGGCCUAGAACUUGCUGUACAGACCACUCUGGCCUUGAACACACUGAGAUCUGUCUCCGAAGCAGGGAUUAAAUGUGUGCCUCCCACCCAGCUCCACCUAAGCUGUUUGAGACAGGGUCUUUUGGUGAAUCUGGAGGUCAUCACCCUGGAGCUUGCUGGCUGGCCCCUGUCUCCACCUCUCUAGCCCUGGGGUUAUGGCUGUGUGCUGGCAACACUGGGCUUUCACAUGGGCAUCGGGGGUUAAAACCAGGUCCUGAUGAUUGUGCUGGAGCACUUUGUCCCAGAGACAUCUCCCCAGCCUCCCAUUAGCAGUCCCAACCCAAAGCUUAGUCCAUGGUACCCACUAGGCAGAUGGAGACAACUUUUGCCCCAGAUUGCCCAGUGCUACGGAGACAUUAGAUCUUUAGGAGUUACUUGUCCCCAUCCCUCCAUGGCAAUAGUACCGGGGCCCCGACUUUCCUCCCCCCAAUCCUUUCCGUGGCUUCUGGCUUCUGCCGUGAUGUCCCUUUGCCUAGGCUGGCUCCACCGGGAACCCGUUGACUGUGGAGGUGGUUCUGCAAACCCCAAACUAAGAGCCUGUUUUGACACGGCUGGGAGCAAAGCUGAGAGCAAGUCUCCAGAGCGGCAAUUGCUUCAUUCAGUUCUGGGAUGCCCCCCACACACCUAAAGUGAAGCGAUGAGCCCCUCCUCCCAGCUACCCAGCAAGCAGCCAUUUAUUCCCAAUUGCUCCCCACAGUAUAGGUCAAUUAGAGAGGAAGCCAGCAGGACUGGGGGCACGGGCAAUUCUUUUGAGGGCAGGAGACCCCUGGGCUGCCUAGUCACAGGCACCCCCUCCAUUCACAUGCUAUGUAGGAAUGCAAACUCCCAGAAAGGGAGUGGGGAUUCUGUCCAAUGCAGAGCCACGGAGUAAAUGGCCCUGGUCCUGGACACUUCCCAAGUGAGAUUUACAGUUCUGGCUCACUCUGCUCAGGCAGAAACAGCCACUUCAGCCAUAUCAGGAAUGGCCUCUUAUUGUUGACUUCCCUUUGGGGAUACGUUUUUCACAGCUAGCUAAUGCUUUUGUUUCAAGGUAGGAGGGGUUCUCAGUCUUUCCCUUCUGAAUUGUGGUUGGAUUUCUCUUUAAUCAUUUAUUUCCAAGUUCUUUUUGUAGGGCAUAUCACUGUAAUUAGCAGCCAAUGCUACAUUUCCACGGUUGCCUUACUUUCCAUGUGCUCCAUAGUCUCCAUGAAGUCCACCAUCCCAGCCGGGCCCAUCACGGUCUUCAUGCCUCUUAGAUAGAAGCCAUUUUGCACCCCACCCCAAUAAAUCUCUGGUAUAAGGUCCAUUUCAAGGUGUGAUUUUUUUUUUUUUUUUUGUGAUAUUCCUUAGCCUUCGAUCGUUGAGAUACUCUUGUUGCAAACCGUUUCAUUUUCUCUUGUGAUUUCAUAGUAUUUCGUUUCCUUUCCCCUUACAUUUUCAGAACACUGUUUCGGUCUUACCAGUGUUUUCUGGACCUUCCUGUCCAGCUGAAUUGCUCAGAACAAGCAAAUAGUUAGGUCGGAGCCACAUUCCAGGCCAUUUAAGUCAGAAUCUCCAGGGGCUGGGUCCUGCCUGGCCUGGGAAGAGAAACUUCCCUGACUAUUCUGAUGUGCUGAGAGAGAAGCAAGCUGAAUCCAACCCACGGAGGUUAGUUCAUGCAUGUGAGUCUCCAGGAGGGUUUGUCCCCCACAUGAGCUGUGGGUGUCAGCUUACAUUACCUUGGCUAUUUUCCUCUCUACAAAUGAUUUGUUUUCACUGAAAAAGUCUCAGAAAAUAUGGAGCCAGAAAAAUUAGUAACCAUUCUGAGGGGCAGUUUAACCCUUUGGUGUAUAUUUUAAUGAAUGUUUUAUUUUGUAUGUACAUAUGUUAAGAAUAUCUUUUAAAAAUUUUAAUUUUAUGUGUAUAAGUGUUUACCCAGAUAUAUGUAUAUAUACCACAUGAGUUCAGGAGCCGGAGGAGGCCAAUAGAGGGCAAUGAAUCCCCCAGAACUGGAGGUACAGGUAGUUGUAAGCCAUCAUGCAUGUCUGGGAACUGAACCCAGGUCCUCUUGGAGAACAAGAGCCCUUACCUGUUGAACCAUUGCUUCGGUUCCCUUUUGCUUAUUUAAACUUGUAAAAUAACGUAUUGAUUAUGUGUGGUGGGGGUGAGACAGGGGAGAGUGUAUGUGUUAUGUUGAACAUGUGGUCAGAGGAAUAAAUUGUGGAAGUCAGUUUUCUCCUUUGCCGCUAAUAUAGGACCCAGGAAUCAAAGUCAGGUCAUCAGGCUUGGUGGGAAAAUUCCUUUAUCUGCUGAGCUAUCUCACUAAUCUAUUUACAACUUAGUAUCUCUUCUAAUACCAUGAAUCCUUUUCUAUGUAAGUACACAUUGAAUGCAGUCAUUUUUUGUUGUUGUUCAUUUUUUAAUUAAUUUUUUACAUUUCAAUUCCAGUUCCCCUUCUUUGCCUCCCAAACCCUCCACCUCCCCUCCUCCCAUCUGCUCCAUGGAGAGAGUAAGGCCUCCCCUAGGAAGUCUACUAAGUCUGUCCCAUCAUCUAGUUGAGGCAGGACCAAGGCACCUCUCCACUCCCACACCCCUGUGUCUAGGCUGAGCAAGGUAUCUCUCCAUAUAGAAUGGGCUCCACUAAGUCAGUUUGUGCAUUAGAGUUAGAUCUUGGACCCACUGACAGUGGCCUCAUAUAUUGUCUCAGUCACACCAUUGCCACCUAUACUAAGGGAGUCUAGUUUGGUCUUAUGCAGGUUCCCCAUUUGUCAGACCUGACUCAGUAAUCUCUCGGUAGCUCAGAUCAGCUGAUUCUGUGGGGUUCCCUGUUGUUCCCUUUGUUCAUACUAUUGCUCCUCCCUCACCUUGAUUGUACUCCAGGAGCUUGGACCAUUGGUUAGUUGUAGAUUUCUGCAUCUGCUUCCAUCUGUUUCUGGAGGAGGGUUCUAGCUUCUCUGGGGUUAUGGAUUGUAGGCUGGGUAUCUUUUGCUUUAUGUCUGGUAUCCAUUUAUGUGUGAGUACAUACUAUAUUUGUCUUUCUGGUUUUGGGUUACCUCACUUAGGAUGUUUUUUUGUUUUUCUAAUUUUGUCCAUUUGCCUGAGAAUUUUAGAAUGUCAUUGUUUCUUACCAUUGUGUAAACAUAUGACAGUUUCUUUAUCCAUUCUUCAGUUAAGGGGCAUCUAGGCUGUUUCCAAGAUCUGGCUACUACAAAUAGUGUUGAUAUGAACAUUGCUGAGCAAAUGUCCUUGUGGUGUGAAUGUGCCUCCUUUGGGUAUAUGCCCCACAGUGGUAUUGCAGGGUCUUGAGGUAGGUUGAUUCCUACUUUUCUGAGAAAUCGCCAUACUGAUUUUCACAGUGGCUUUACAAGUUUGCAUUCCCACCAGCAAUGAAGGAGUGUUCCCCUUUCUCCACUUCCUCUCCAGCAUAAGCUGUCAUUGGUGUUUUUUUGUUUAGCCAUUCUGAUUGGUGUAAGAUAUGGUUUUGAUUUGCAUUUCCCUGAUGACUAAGGAUGUUGAGCAUUUUCUUAAGUGUCUUUCAAAUGCACUCAUCUUAACUGAUGACAUAGUCUAGUUCAGUCUUCCAACUAAUGGCUUUUGGCUACUCUUUUACCAGGGGACUGGCUUGAUCUUUGCUCUGGGUUCAAUUGCCAAGUCAUCUUCCAAUAUGCUUACAUAUCUCAAUUGAUUAGCUCAAAGGGUGCCUUUAAAGCUGGGCAUGGUGGUAUUAAAGCUGGGCAUGGUGGUAUUAAAGCUGGGCAUGGUGGUAUGUUCUUAUAAUCCAUAGUGAAUUUGAGGCCAUCCUGGGAUACAUGAGACCCUGUCUCAAAAAACCAAAACCAAAACCAAGAACAAAAUGAGUUAUUUCUCCCCUCUGACUGCUGAAGCCUAAUAUUCUACCAACACUUCUCUUCUAUGUUUGCUUUAUUUUUUGUUAAAAACACCUAUUUUCCCUUUAAUCCAAGAAUAACUAUUAUUCCAAUCUAUUUGCAAGAUUAGUUGGUUCAAGCUCCACAUUGCUCAAAAUCUAUCUACAUCUUUCUAUUGCCUGAUCAAAUUUCCUUCACCUUUCAUGUGAGGUACUUUUGACUCUAACACCUCUGGGUUUUUGGUUUGUUUUUUUUUUUUUUAAUUUCAGAAGGAUCUCCCUCAGGCGUAAGUCAAAUGAAAGUACUUCCAUAAGUCCUGUAAACCUUGUAGACUUUUUCCAUUCUCCACUCUACAUUGGUGAUACAAGUCCAGACCACGAGAAAGUCCUUCAAUUUAGGAGUCUUGUAUUUUUGUUUCAAGGAUUCCUUCUUGGGGAGAUGUGAACAAUCUCUACCCACCCUCUCAUGAGGUCUCAAAGACAGACAAAUCAAAGUGUGAUUCCACCAAAAUUCACUCUGAGAACCAGUAAGUUUACUGGCCUUACAAAGCAGCGGGGGCAGGGUUGCUGAUGGGAGCAUGGGUGAAUCUGAGGCAGCUGCACUUCUCCCAGAGUGGAUGAUGGCUUCCCCUUGGCUUCAUAGAUGGAGCACCACCCCCCACUCCCCCACCCCCUUCCAUUAACUUUCCUCAGCAUUUAUGCUGCAGCACCUCUGGAGACCCAGAGGCCAUAGUGCAAUCAGGGAAGAAUUAUAUACAAUUAUAGCUGGGGCAGGGGAGUGGCUGCAAACUCAGAUGAGGGUCCAGUGACCCUCUCUACCCUCUCAUUCUCUGAGGAAAGUCCACAGGCUCAUUUUGAAGGCUUCUUGCAAACAGGCACAACUGAUCUGAUGAAAAUGAUGGCUAUUUUGUUCAUUCUGCAGCAACUCUAUCAUGAAACAGUGGCAGAUUAAUUGGUUAGCUUGCAGGUAGGGUAAAAUCUCAGAGUGAGGUCCCAAUAAAAGGGUAUAUUCUAUUAUAUAAGCUUGCUACUAGGUAUAGUCUAUUGUGUUUCAUGAGUAUGAACUUGUCCAGGUUGCUCAUAGAACAAGCAGGUCUUACCACCCCCCCUUUACACUUACUUAUUUAGUGUAUAUGUAUGUGGACUUACAUGUGUGGGCUCAUGUGUAGUCAGAUGGCAACUUGCAGGAAUUGGUUCUGUCCUUAUACCAUGUGGGUUCUGGAGAUUGGAUUUAGGUCGUUAGGCUUGGUGGCAAGUUCCUUUAUUGGCUGAGCCGUGUCAUUAGCUCCAUGGUCUUUUAAUAUUAUAAAUUGUCAGCUGGGUGGUGGUAGGAUGUAGGACACUCCUUUAAUCCCAGCACUCAGGAGGCAGAGGCAGGCAGCUCUCUUAGUUCAAGGCCAACCUGAUCUACAGAGUAAAUUCCAGGACAGCCAGGGCUACACAGAGAAACCCUGUCUCGAAACUAGCUAACUAACUAACUAAGUAGUUUUGUUCUUAGUCACAGCAUUUAAUGAAUAUCUGUGGAAAGGUGGGACACACAAGGAAUAUAACUGAAAUGUGUAUACAAAGAUAUGUGGUAAUUCCUCAAAUUAGCUUUGAGAUGCUCUCUCUAGUUCUGAAAGUUACAUUUACCUGAUUAUGGGCUUCACAAGAGUCAACAUAUCUUUCUGAAGCAUCCAGUGCUAGAAAAAAGAUGUAGUACAAACCACUCUGAAUUACCUUCCUAUGUAAGAAUUUCUAGGAGUAAAAGCCAUAUACAUCUGUGCUAUCCUGUGUAUGGAGAAAUGCCUACAAAGAGCAUCUGGAAAGUUUCUUUCUAAUCUCAUCAUCUUUGCAAAAACUCCUGAUGGGUGAGUGUAGUGGUCCGUGUCACGCUUAGAAGACACUGUAUCGUUCUGGUUCUCACCUGUGCCCGGCCCUGACCUCUGGCUGUUACAGUCUAAAACUCCCUUUUGAAAAGAGAAAUCAGUAUCGUUUUUCUAAGAACGUGGGAGUCAUCCUUUUCUUCAUCCUGAAUCCUCAGCUGUGGGUUGCUCCCCUCUCCUGUACAAUUGAUCGGGUUUGUCUGCACUGCAAAUGUACUGAGGUUCAGGAGUAAGGUGAGGCCAAGGACAAGUGAGUGUGAGUCACCAGGCUGGGAAAAGGAAGCAAACUGGACUCUGCUCUUUCCACAAGGUAUCUCAAGGCCUGUGUGAAUGGAGAAAAGCGGAAACUCUCAGUAUGACUCAGCUGCAGCAGGCUUUGGGAGUGGACAUCAAAUGAUAACUACAAAAAAGCAAGAAACAAGCACAAAAGCCUAUCAGGAAACCCCCCAAAGAAGUGAAGUCUUGGGGGCUGGUGAGAUGUCUCAGCAGAAUGUGCACAGGAACCCUCUGUUGAAAACAGCAAAAUACCAGUACAAGAAAUCAGACCUAAACAAUGGAAAGUGAAGAAAUCAGACCUAAACAAUGGAAAGUGAAGAAAUCAGACCUAAACAAUGGAAAGUGAAGAAAUCAGAUCUAAACAAUGGAAAGUCAAGCUGCACAAAAUACCCAGGGUCAGUGGCUAUUUUUAGCCAUUGUUCUCCCCAGUGGGGUUAUCCUCAGAGAAUCCUUACUGCCCGGGCUCCCCUUUCAUAAGUUUCUCCGGGGUAUCUGCAUCUCCUCCCCCUGCCUCCCCCUUUCAGUUUGAGGAGAACAGUCCAUCGUCAUAUGACAACAGGAACAUGAGGCAACUGGUGACAGUGGCCUCCGCCCCUGCCCCAUGGCCUCCACUCCUGGCUGUGACCGGCAGACAGAGCUUUAUAGAAAGGUCUCAUGGAAGCAGAUGCUGAAUGCUCAGCCCGCAUCCCCUCAAGACCGGAGAGGGUGAGUGUGCAGCCUCAUCUCCUUGCCUGUGUCCACGACACACUGUUCCAAAUACGGAAAUACAAGUCUUCCAGGGAGAGCUGAUCUUCUAAGCUGACUUUCUAGAAAUGGGAAGAAUUUACUCCGUUUGUCAC